This 252-nucleotide ribosomal RNA is filed under the name uncultured bacterium. RNAcentral describes it as "partial 16S ribosomal RNA". It matches the Rfam family "Bacterial small subunit ribosomal RNA", at positions 524 to 776 of the family's 1533-position model. The record is from RNAcentral.
UACGGAGGAUGCGAGCGUUAUCCGGAUUUAUUGGGUUUAAAGGGUGCGUAGGCGGAUCGUUAAGUCAGUGGUCAAAUUGAGGGGCUCAACCCCUUCCCGCCAUUGAAACUGGCGCUCUUGAGUGGAAGAGAAGUAUGCGGAAUGCGUGGUGUAGCGGUGAAAUGCAUAGAUAUUACGCAGAACCCCGAUUGCGAAGGCAGCAUGCCGGCUUCCGACUGACGCUGAAGCACGAAAGCGUGGGGAUCGAACAGG